Long non-coding RNA from Peromyscus leucopus (white-footed mouse), 849 nucleotides. RefSeq lists it as uncharacterized. The record is from RefSeq and is a predicted model, not a curated record. The transcript has 2 exons. NCBI's taxonomy places the organism in Eukaryota, Metazoa, Chordata, Mammalia, Rodentia, Cricetidae.
AGUGCUUUAAAUGCCAAGCAAUCUUACUGACAAAUAGUUACACUGAGUGAUGUCCAGAGGGGAAAAGUAAAGAAAAAAGACAGAGAAAGACGAAGCAAGCCGUGUUCUGUUUAGGAACUAAGAGGCCUCUGUGCUUCUGGGAGUUUCUAGCCAGCAAACUGCAGACAACUUGGCGUGGCUGAUGCAAUGACAGCACAAUUAUAUGUCAGUGAGGCAAGAACGUGCAAUUGCCAACAAAUGCCUCUGUUACAGAGGCCCGCAGAGCCCCGGGUUUAGAGAAGUGCCUUGGGGCUUUCUUGAGACCUGAUGGAUCACAUGAGCACGCACCAACUGGGCUGAUAGAUUCCUCUCACUGCCGUCACUCUGAGGUGGUAAAAGAAAUGCUUCAGACAUGGACAUCUGUCCCAGGAGCCUCUGAUGUUAGCCACAAAUGAGAAACCCACAACUUCAAAGUCAAUAUCUGGCCAACACAGAACGGUGAGUAGCCUUCCACUCCAGGUCAAAGUUUGGAAAUGACAUCUUCCAUCAAAAGGAGCCACACUACUCAAUGAAGUGGUAAUUCACGGUCUGAAGCAGCAAAUGGAGAAAAGGAACCAGGAGUGCCUAUCAGGCUUGGUGAGGAAGCUAUCAGAGAUGCUAGGGCAUUUCAAAGGACUCCAGGACCACCUUACAGAGGCCAAAGAUGUGAUCAUUUGACUAUUAGUACAAUGGUAGAAUGGAACACACCAAAUAUGUUUAAAUCUGUGAGCUCAUAGUACUAAAAAUAAUAGUCAUGUUCAGAGGAUGAUGGAUAAGCAGUUUACUACUCAGCUGGAAACUGGUGAAUAAAUGCUACCAUUUUUUGCUGCC